CCCGGUCCCAUUCCGAACCCGGAAGUUAAGCCUCUCAGCGUCGAUGGUACUGCAAGGGUGACCUUGUGGGAGAGUAGAACGUCGCCGGAC
RNAcentral lists this ribosomal RNA (90 nucleotides) under Actinomycetota bacterium. The record is from RNAcentral. Lineage: Bacteria; Bacillati; Actinomycetota.